Molecule: long non-coding RNA, 740 nt
Filed under: Solanum tuberosum (potato)
Lineage: Eukaryota; Viridiplantae; Streptophyta; Magnoliopsida; Solanales; Solanaceae
Description: long non-coding RNA (STUB_LNC008707)
Source: RNAcentral
UACAACCUACAGGUUUAGAUGCAUUUAACCAAUACAGAAUUCACAAGAAUCGAUAUAACACCCCCUCUUAUCUCAUCUCUUAACAAGGAACGUACCAAUAAAGAUAGCAAUGCAUAUGUUCCAUUUUAAAAUAUAGCCAAGAUGCAAUGCAAGUGCCAAAUAGUGUUGCAAAUAAUCAGCAUAUCCAAGUUGUCUUUCUAAAAUUAAAUCAAUGUUUUCAAUCAGAGGUAUCAUAAAGUUGUUACCACCUAGAUACCAAGACACAAGAUUGAGUGCCCUUCCUGAUUUUUAAUCAAAGAGAAAUAUCAGAAAUUCAGAAAUCAUAAGAGAGAACUUAUAGAAAUAUCUUCCAUGCGAUUGAUAUCGUUUUAUCCACAUUUCUUAAUUGACUGUAUCUUCGUCAGAGAAAGAUCUUUGACAGCAGGUAGCUAUAAAGAAGCUGAUAUGAGAAUACUAAUCAAAGCAUGAAGCAUCCUUAUACCAUCUCCAUUCAAUGCCCAAUGAAUGACUAGCUCUCUCCCUAAACCAAAUGGAGAAGAGAGGUAUAUAAAAUGAGGAAUAAAUGACUCUUCAGACAAUUGUUGAAGCAAAUUGGAUUAUUCUCCAUCCCCUGGUAUGAGUCAUACCAGACACAAACAGAAACAAAAAUGACUUCAGUCAAUUCCUGACACAAAAUUGAAUGGCUCCAGACAUAGCCCAGUAUCCAGUCUUUAAACUAAAGUUCCUGCAUUUGCUUUUCC